This 67-nucleotide microRNA precursor is filed under the name Caenorhabditis remanei. RNAcentral describes it as "mir-35h". The record is from RNAcentral. Lineage: Eukaryota; Metazoa; Nematoda; Chromadorea; Rhabditida; Rhabditidae.
UGCUGGUUUCGACUUCGGUAAUAGUCAAUAUAUAAGAAAUACCUAUCACCGGGUGGAAACUGGUGCG